Molecule: ribosomal RNA, 373 nt
Filed under: uncultured organism
Description: partial 16S ribosomal RNA
Rfam family: Bacterial small subunit ribosomal RNA
Source: RNAcentral
GUAGGUGGCAAGCGUUGUCCGGAAUUAUUGGGCGUAAAGCGCGCGCAGGCGGUUCUUUAAGUCUGGUGUGAAAGCCCACGGCUCAACCGUGGAGGGUCAUUGGAAACUGGAGAACUUGAGUACAGAAGAGGAAAGCGGAAUUCCACGUGUAGCGGUGAAAUGCGUAGAGAUGUGGAGGAACACCAGUGGCGAAGGCGGCUUUCUGGUCUGUAACUGACGCUGAGGCGCGAAAGCGUGGGGAGCAAACAGGGAUUAGAUACCCUGGUAGUCCACGCCGUAAACGAUGAGUGCUAAGUGUUAGGGGGUUUCCCGCCCCUUAGUGCUGCAGCUAACGCAUUAAGCACUCCGCCUGGGGAGUACGGCCGCAAGGCUG